UACGGAGGGGGCUAGCGUUGUCCGGAAUUACUGGGCGUAAAGCGCUCGUAGGCGGAUUGAUCAGUCAGAGGUGAAAGCCCGGGGCUCAACCCCGGAAUUGCCUUUGAUACUGUCAGUCUAGAGUCCGAGAGAGGUGAGUGGAAGUCCUAGUGUAGAGGUGAAAUUCGUAGAUAUUAGGAAGAACACCAGUGGCGAAGGCGGCUCACUGGCUCGGUACUGACGCUGAGGAGCGAAAGCGUGGGGAGCAAACAGG
Molecule: ribosomal RNA, 253 nt
Filed under: uncultured bacterium
Lineage: Bacteria
Description: partial 16S ribosomal RNA
Rfam family: Bacterial small subunit ribosomal RNA
Source: RNAcentral